AUUGAACGCUGGCGGCAUGCCUUACACAUGCAAGUCGAACGGCAGCACGGGUGCUUGCCCCUGGUGGCGAGUGGCGAACGGGUGAGUAAUACAUCGGAACAUGUCCUGUAGUGGGGGAUAGCCCGGCGAAAGCCGGAUUAAUACCGCAUACGAUCUACGGAUGAAAGCGGGGGACCUUCGGGCCUCGCGCUAUAGGGUUGGCCGAUGGCUGAUUAGCUAGUUGGUGGGGUAAAGGCCUACCAAGGCGACGAUCAGUAGCUGGUCUGAGAGGACGACCAGCCACACUGGGACUGAGACACGGCCAGACUCCUACGGGAGGCAGCAGUGGGGAAUUUUGGACAAUGGGCGAAAGCCUGAUCCAGCAAUGCCGCGUGUGUGAAGAAGGCCUUCGGGUUGUAAAGCACUUUUGUCCGGAAAGAAAUCCUUGGCUCUAAUACAGUCGGGGGAUGACGGUACCGGAAGAAUAAGCACCGGCUAACUACGUG
This 485-nucleotide ribosomal RNA is filed under the name uncultured bacterium. Its description in RNAcentral is "partial 16S ribosomal RNA". It matches the Rfam family "Bacterial small subunit ribosomal RNA", at positions 30 to 507 of the family's 1533-position model. The record is from RNAcentral.